Molecule: ribosomal RNA, 275 nt
Filed under: Lactiplantibacillus plantarum
Lineage: Bacteria; Bacillati; Bacillota; Bacilli; Lactobacillales; Lactobacillaceae
Description: Lactobacillus plantarum partial 16S ribosomal RNA
Rfam family: Bacterial small subunit ribosomal RNA
Source: RNAcentral
AAACCGGAGGAAGGUGGGGAUGACGUCAAAUCAUCAUGCCCCUUAUGACCUGGGCUACACACGCGCUCCAAUGGAUGGUACACCGAGUUCCGAACUCGCGCGACUAAGCUAAUCUCUUAAAGCCAUUCUCAGUUCGGAUUGUAGGCUGCAACUCGCCUACAUGAAGUCGGAAUCGCUAGUAAUCGCGGAUCAGCAUGCCGCGGUGAAUACGUUCCCGGGCCUUGUACACACCGCCCGUCACACCAUGAGAGUUUGUAACACCCAAAGUCGGUGGG